ACGAACGCUGGCGGCGCGCCUAACACAUGCAAGUCGAACGAGCGAGAGAGAGCUUGCUUUCUCAAGCGAGUGGCGAACGGGUGAGUAACGCGUGAGGAACCUGCCUCAAAGAGGGGGACAACAGUUGGAAACGACUGCUAAUACCGCAUAAGCCCACGGCUCGGCAUCGAGCAGAGGGAAAAGGAGCAAUCCGCUUUGAGAUGGCCUCGCGUCCGAUUAGCUAGUUGGUGAGGUAAUGGCCCACCAAGGCGACGAUCGGUAGCCGGACUGAGAGGUUGAACGGCCACAUUGGGACUGAGACACGGCCCAGACUCCUACGGGAGGCAGCAGUGGGGAAUAUUGCACAAUGGGGGAAACCCUGAUGCAGCGACGCCGCGUGGAGGAAGAAGGUCUUCGGAUUGUAAACUCCUGUUGUUGAGGAAGAUAAUGACGGUACUCAACAAGGAAGUGACGGCUAACUACGUGCCAGCAGCCGCGGUAAAACGUAGGUCACAAGCGUUGUCCGGAAUUACUGGGUGUAAAGGGAGCGCAGGCGGGAAGACAAGUUGGAAGUGAAAUCCAUGGGCUCAACCCAUGAACUGCUUUCAAAACUGUUUUUCUUGAGUAGUGCAGAGGUAGGCGGAAUUCCCGGUGUAGCGGUGGAAUGCGUAGAUAUCGGGAGGAACACCAGUGGCGAAGGCGGCCUACUGGGCACCAACUGACGCUGAGGCUCGAAAGUGUGGGUAGCAAACAGGAUUAGAUACCCUGGUAGUCCACACUGUAAACGAUGAUUACUAGGUGUUGGAGGAUUGACCCCUUCAGUGCCGCAGUUAACACAAUAAGUAAUCCACCUGGGGAGUACGACCGCAAGGUUGAAACUCAAAGGAAUUGACGGGGGCCCGCACAAGCAGUGGAGUAUGUGGUUUAAUUCGACGCAACGCGAAGAACCUUACCAAGUCUUGACAUCCCUUGACGAUGCUGGAAACAGUAUUUCUCUUCGGAGCAAGGAGACAGGUGGUGCAUGGUUGUCGUCAGCUCGUGUCGUGAGAUGUUGGGUUAAGUCCCGCAACGAGCGCAACCCUUAUGGUCAGUUACUACGCAAGAGGACUCUGGCCAGACUGCCGUUGACAAAACGGAGGAAGGUGGGGAUGACGUCAAAUCAUCAUGCCCUUUAUGACUUGGGCUACACACGUACUACAAUGGCGUUAAACAAAGAGAAGCAAGACCGCGAGGUGGAGCAAAACUCAGAAACAACGUCCCAGUUCGGACUGCAGGCUGCAACUCGCCUGCACGAAGUCGGAAUUGCUAGUAAUCGCAGAUCAGCAUGCUGCGGUGAAUACGUUCCCGGGCCUU
Molecule: ribosomal RNA, 1332 nt
Filed under: uncultured bacterium
Lineage: Bacteria
Description: 16S ribosomal RNA
Rfam family: Bacterial small subunit ribosomal RNA
Source: RNAcentral